GAUUGUAGCAGGAUACACCCCCCUCUGGUGGUGUUUUCCUAAUAUUAUCCGUUGAAUGGACAGGUGGGUAAUUAUAGGCCCAGUGCUAUUUAAGGAAGUCAGCCCUCCUGAUUGUAUGUCUUCCACCUUUCCCUGGAGGAGGGACUUCCUGGUCAGUGUUGUUGGACGUGGGUCCCGUGUGUGUACCAUUACUGCCAGCAGCAGCUCCGUUGUGCUUUAACCCGGUGUGGAUUCAUAGUGAAUGUUGCCAUCCGGAUUUGGGUGUGAGAACCUUAUCGGCUCAGCUUGUCGUGAGCAGUGUUAGCCGCACAGGCGUUAUCUCGCCAUCGGUAGUGGGAGACGGAACCAUCAGCAAUCGAUUGGCAGAAGAAUCAGCGGUGUUCGUGCUGGCCUUUGGCCUGUUUCCGCAACCGAUGAGUUUGCUGCUUUGUCUCCACUGUUUGUUUAUUUAAUUUAUGUUCAUUUACCUUCCGAGGGGGCCUGUCAGUCUGACGACCAUUCGCCGCCUCUUCAUCUGUAUCUCCUCGCAGUGCAUGACCGGGCUUAUGUUUGUAACGUUGGGUUCUCGGCUCUGUUAAUAGCCUAACUAUUAUUGUGUUGCAUGAUCUGUGCAUGUAUGC
Alosa sapidissima (American shad) is the source of this 620-nucleotide long non-coding RNA. RefSeq lists it as uncharacterized. NCBI's taxonomy places the organism in Eukaryota, Metazoa, Chordata, Actinopteri, Clupeiformes, Clupeidae. The transcript is spliced from 4 exons. The record is from RefSeq and is a predicted model, not a curated record.